RNAcentral lists this long non-coding RNA (280 nucleotides) under Elaeis guineensis (African oil palm). Its description in RNAcentral is "long non-coding RNA (EGUI_LNC032198)". Lineage: Eukaryota; Viridiplantae; Streptophyta; Magnoliopsida; Arecales; Arecaceae. The record is from RNAcentral.
UGAGGAGGAUCACAUGCGGCGAGCCGUGGAUACUCAUUUGUCAUUGUAUUUUAAGGAUUAUCGCCAUCACAUGCAUCAGCAUUGGUACCAUGUGGUGCAGGAUCAUGGGGAGGAGGCAGCGCGGCAGUAGCCCUAUGACAGUAUCAUUAUGGAUGAUUAGACUAUCAUAUGCCGGCAUUACGAGGAUCUGGUAUAUCAGGUUACACAUCUAAAUUUUUUUUUAGAGUUUAAUGAUUGAAUCAUUUAUUUUUAAAUUAAAUUUGUUAUCUACUAAUUUAAC